This is a non-coding RNA of Echinostoma caproni, 45 nucleotides long. The record is from Rfam. NCBI's taxonomy places the organism in Eukaryota, Metazoa, Platyhelminthes, Trematoda, Plagiorchiida, Echinostomatidae.
GCACUGCUGAGGAGUCCCAAACAGGGCGAAACAUUUGUCCAGUGC